Molecule: ribosomal RNA, 443 nt
Filed under: uncultured bacterium
Lineage: Bacteria
Description: partial 16S ribosomal RNA
Rfam family: Bacterial small subunit ribosomal RNA
Source: RNAcentral
CCUACGGGUGGCUGCAGUGGGGAAUAUUGGGCAAUGGACGCAACUCUGACCCAGCAACGCCGCGUGAAUGAUGAAGGUCUUCGGGUUGUAAAGUUCUGUGAUGGGGGAUGAACACAGUGACGGUAAUACCAUAGCAAGCCAACGCUAACGACGGGCCAGCAGCCGGGGUAAUACGUAGGGGGCAAGCGGUAUCCGGAAUGGCUGGGCGUAAAGGUUGCGAAGGGGGGUUGGUAAGCUCGCGGUGAAAUCCCGGGGCUCCACCUCGGCGAUACCGCCAACACUAGUAGGCAUGAGUGCAGGAGGGGGAAGUGGAAUUCCUGGUGUAGCGGUGGAAUGCGUAGAUAUUAGGAGGAACACCAGUGGCGAAGGCGACUUCCUGGACUGUAACUGACGCUGAGGCACGAAAGCGUGGGGAGCAAACAGGAUUAGAUACCCUAGUAGUC